Molecule: long non-coding RNA, 465 nt
Filed under: Gossypium raimondii (Peruvian cotton)
Lineage: Eukaryota; Viridiplantae; Streptophyta; Magnoliopsida; Malvales; Malvaceae
Description: long non-coding RNA (GRAI_LNC009159)
Source: RNAcentral
AAAAGUAAUGUAAUAUAUUAAGAAAACUAAUAAUAAAAAAACGUGUAUAUAUGUAUAUGAAAAUCAUGAAAAUAAAAUAAAAGGAUAAAAGUAUGCACAUGAGUAUAUAUUUACAAAAUAAAAGAAAUAUAUAUGUAUAUCUAUAAAAUAUAAAGUAUAUAAAAAUGAAAAAAACAAUAUAACAACGUACCAAAAAAAUAAAAAAAAAUAUGCAUGCGUUUAUAAAGUUUAAAUAUAUAAUAUAAAAAAAUAUGUAUAUGUAUACUAUAUAAAAGAUGCGUGUCUAAAUAUAGAAAUGAUAAUAAUUAUGGCCAUAAUAAUGCUAAUAAUAAUAACAAAAAAAAUAAUGGUAGAGCAUAAUCACGAUAAUAACAUUUAAAAAUAAAAUAGUUAAAAAAAUGAUCCAGAUUGAACAAAAGACAGAAAAAAGGGGGUAAAUUCGAAAUAAAUAAAAAAAAGACCAAC